ACGAUCUUACUUGAACAUGAUCUGUUUUAUUGGAUCGUACUACUGUGUCUUUGAUUUUUAAGGAGACCAAAACAUAAAUCUCGACGAUGAAUCAUGACCGUGUGAUCAGAGCAUCAUUAAUGAUUCUGUAGUGACAUCUUUUGGGUGUCAUCGUAAGAUAUUGUAGAUGAUCAUUCUCUAGCACAAUUUAAUUAAGUUGCGACACGAUUGUCUAACAGAUU
Trifolium pratense (red clover) is the source of this 221-nucleotide small nucleolar RNA. RefSeq annotates it as small nucleolar RNA U3. NCBI's taxonomy places the organism in Eukaryota, Viridiplantae, Streptophyta, Magnoliopsida, Fabales, Fabaceae. The transcript has a single exon. The record is from RefSeq and is a predicted model, not a curated record.